This is a long non-coding RNA of Mastomys coucha (southern multimammate mouse), 1498 nucleotides long. RefSeq lists it as uncharacterized. The transcript is spliced from 2 exons. The record is from RefSeq and is a predicted model, not a curated record. NCBI's taxonomy places the organism in Eukaryota, Metazoa, Chordata, Mammalia, Rodentia, Muridae.
ACAUGAUAAGGUUUUCCCACCAGAGGAAGGGGCAGUUCAGAAGGAACGCGCUUACAUGGUAUUAGUCAUCAAGGCAGCUCUUGAGAGGAGCCACAGCCCCUCCCCCACAGCCGCUGCCCUUCUGAAGAAGGCUGAGAGUCCCAAGCACCAGAAGGAUUCCAGACUACAGUGAAUUAAUUUUGUUUAUGGAGAUCCUUUUAUGAACACCUAGACUUUGGCACAUGAAAUGCUCCACUCCCAAGAAGGCAGGACACGAAUGAGAGACAAGGGGAGCUACUGCAAAACACAGCAAACAGUGGCAGAUGCUGAGUGAAACGGUGGCUCACAGUGACAGAGCAGUGUGUGGAGCACUUCAGGGACUUCGCGUCUUGGUUCUCCAGCAUGCUUCUCAGCAGUGAACAUCUCCAAAUUGAUAGCUCUGUGGAUGAGGAAGCCAACAUAGAAGGAGCACCCUCUCGGGGUCAUAGGUCAAAGGACAACCUGGGCCAAUAGAAAGCCAGGGCUCUUCUGCAGCCAAUUCCCUUUCCUACCUUCCCCUUCCUGAGCCCUGUAAAGCACUCCUUUCAGUAUCAUCGAAGUGACCCUGGAGGUUGUCAGGGGUGCUGCGGACAGAGUGGGAGCAGGACAUGUCCUGGCAGCUAGGCUCAGAGUCCCACACAACAAGACCUAUGCAGAAAGGGUUACUCGAAACGAAAAGUAGAAAGGCAAUAGCUGCUUAGCCCCACAUUUUAGCUUGUUUGUUUCAGAUGUAUUACUUUCCUCACUAAGUUCUAAUGGAAAGAGACAUCGCUGAACUUUUCUCUCAAAUCCCUUUAGAAGUCCAACAUUCCAUGUAUGGAGGGUCUCAAAACAGAGGCAACGCCUCUCCUUGUUGGAGGGUCUGAAAUAAACAGAGAUUUUUUUUUUAUCACUUGUUUAACUUAGUCCAGAGAGAUUUUUUUUCUAAUGACAAAGACUUCAUUGGCUCAUUGUUUUAUUUCAGGGUCAGAGCAAAUUCCUACUUAGUACCCACAAGGCUUGCUAGAAGGGGAUCUUAACAGGGGGUAUGCAAAUACGGUGCAGAGAUUAAUAGUAAGACACAGCUCUGAGCCACACAAGAUGAAAUAUGGUGACAGAUAAUAUAUUUCAGUUUGAAUUUUCAACAUGAUAUAAAUGUUCUUAAUUAAUAUUAAAACAACAAUUAAUGAAAAAUUACCCUAUUGAGUUGAUAAAUGAAGCAGUGUGGUUUUCAAGGGCAUUAGAUUUUUUCCCCCUCUCUGAUUCCAAAUGCAAUCCAGAUUAGGAUCCAGUCAUGAAUUUCAGUAAGUAUCCAAGGGAUCGGGGAUUACCUGCUCUGAUGCCCUUGUGAACCCUGUGGGAGUUUGCCCUCCCAUACUGACAGAGUCUAUCCUACAUUCCCAUCUCCUCGUCCCUCCUUUCUCCUUUUCCUUAUCCCUCUCUCUCAUGAGAGUGCACACCAUCAGCACAUAGCAAAUAGUCAAUAAAUUAUCAAUAUUGU